CGAACGCUGGCGGCGUGCUUAACACAUGCAAGUCGCACGGAAAGGCCCUGCUUUUGUGGGGUGCUCGAGUGGCGAACGGGUGAGUAACACGUGAGUAACCUGCCCUUGACUUUGGGAUAACUUCAGGAAACUGGGGCUAAUACCGGAUAGGAGCUCCUGCUGCAUGAUGGGGGUUGGAAAGUUUCGGCGGUUGGGGAUGGGCUCGCGGCUUAUCAGCUUGUUGGUGGGGUAGUGGCUUACCAAGGCUUUGACGGGUAGCCGGCCUGAGAGGGUGACCGGCCACAUUGGGACUGAGAUACGGCCCAGACUCCUACGGGAGGCAGCAGUGGGGAAUAUUGCACAAUGGGCGGAAGCCUGAUGCAGCAACGCCGCGUGCGGGAUGACGGCCUUCGGGUUGUAAACCGCUUUCGCCUGUGACGAAGCGUGAGUGACGGUAAUGGGUAAAGAAGCACCGGCUAACUACGUG
Molecule: ribosomal RNA, 466 nt
Filed under: uncultured bacterium
Lineage: Bacteria
Description: partial 16S ribosomal RNA
Rfam family: Bacterial small subunit ribosomal RNA
Source: RNAcentral